AUUGAACGCUAGCGGGAUGCCUUACACAUGCAAGUCGAACGGCAGCGCGGACUUCGGUCUGGCGGCGAGUGGCGAACGGGUGAGUAACACGUGGGUGAUCUGCCCUGCGCUUCGGGAUAAGCCUGGGAAACUGGGUCUAAUACCGGAUAGGACCACUGCCUGCAUGGGUGGUGGUGGAAAGCUUUUGCGGUGUGGGAUGGGCCCGCGGCCUAUCAGCUUGUUGGUGGGGUGAUGGCCUACCAAGGCGACGACGGGUAGCCGGCCUGAGAGGGUGACCGGCCACACUGGGACUGAGAUACGGCCCAGACGCCUACGGGAGGCAGCAGUGGGGAAUAUUGCACAAUGGGCGCAAGCCUGAUGCAGCGACGCCGCGUGAGGGAUGACGGCCUUCGGGUUGUAAACCUCUUUCAGCACCGACGAAGCGCAAGUGACGGUAGGUGCAGAAGAAGGACCGGCCAACUACGUGCCAGCCGCCGCAGUAA
Molecule: ribosomal RNA, 482 nt
Filed under: uncultured bacterium
Lineage: Bacteria
Description: partial 16S ribosomal RNA
Rfam family: Bacterial small subunit ribosomal RNA
Source: RNAcentral